RNAcentral lists this non-coding RNA (959 nucleotides) under Enteromius hulstaerti (butterfly barb). RNAcentral's name for it is "12S rRNA". It matches the Rfam family "Bacterial small subunit ribosomal RNA". Lineage: Eukaryota; Metazoa; Chordata; Actinopteri; Cypriniformes; Cyprinidae. The record is from RNAcentral.
CUAAAGGCAUGGUCCUGACCUUAUUAUCAGCUAUCACUCAACUUACACAUGCAAGUAUCCGCACCCCAGUGAGUAUGCCCUCAAUCCCCCCCCCUUCUUCCGGGGGAGAGGAGCAGGCAUCAGGCACAAUAAUUAGCCCAAAACGCCUAGCCAAGCCACACCCCCAAGGGAAUUCAGCAGUGAUAAAAAUUUGGCCAUAAGUGAAAACUUGACCUAGUUAGAACUAUUGAGGGCCGGUAAAACUCGUGCCAGCCACCGCGGUUAGACGAGAGGCCCUAGUUGAUAAUACAACGGCGUAAAGAGUGGUUAAGAUUAAUAACAAUAAAGCCGAAUGACCCUUCGGCCGUCAUACGCAUCUAGACGUCAGAAGCCCAUAAACGAAAGUAGCUUUAAUAAUAUAUAUAUCUGACCCCACGAAAGCUAAGGAACAAACUGGGAUUAGAUACCCCACUAUGCUUAGCCAUAAAUUUAAACAUCAACCUAAAACACAUAUGUUCGCCCGGGUACUACAAGCACCAGCUUAAAACCCAAAAGACCUGAUGGUGUUUCAGAUCCGCCCAGAGGAGCCUGUUCUAGAACCGAUAUUCCACGUUUAACCUCACCACUUUUAGUCAUCCAGCCUAUAUACCGCCGUCGUAAGCUUACCCUGUGAGGGAGUAGAAGUAAGCAAGAUGAAUAUAAUUCAAAACGUCAGGUCGAGGUGUAGCAUAUGAAGUGGGAAGAAAUGGGCUACAUUUUUUAUUAUAAAAUAAUACGAACACACACCAUGAAACGGUGCUUAAAGGAGGAUUUAGUAGUAAAAAGAAAAUAGAACGUCCUUUUGAACCCGGCUCUGAAACGCGUACACACCGCCCGUCACUCUCCCCACAACUGCAUUAAAAUAGUUAAUAAAGUAACACAAACAAGGGGAGGCAAGUCGUAACAUGGUAAGCGUACCGGAAGGUGCGCUUGGAUUUAUA